Molecule: unclassified non-coding RNA, 919 nt
Filed under: Hevea brasiliensis (rubber tree)
Lineage: Eukaryota; Viridiplantae; Streptophyta; Magnoliopsida; Malpighiales; Euphorbiaceae
Source: RNAcentral
CAAAGAUCAGGAUAUCCCAUGCCCCAUGAUUCAGCAUGACCAGGGACAUCAAUUUCUGCCAUUACAUUGAUGCCUCUUAACUUGGCAAAGUUUACAAUUUCAUAGGCAUCCUCCACUGUGUACCGCUCCCACUUUGUAUAUGAACCUUCCCACAAUUUUGGAUAUGUUGGUAUUUCUAUAGGAAAUGACUGCUCAUCUAUAAUGUGCCAAUGAAGGACAUUAAGUUUAGCAUAUGACAUGGAUUCAAUUAUCUGCUUAAUGACAGUUAUUGGUAAAUAAUGCCUCGAUGUAUCAAGCAAAAGCCCACGAUACGAAAAUCUUGGUUUGUCUUGAAUGUACCAUGGUGCCUUGUAGAUUUGUACAGAUUUAGUUCCAUAAUCAAACAUACAUAGUUGGCUGAAGGUCUCCAACCCUCUCAGUGCACCAUAGACAGUAUUUGCCUCAAUGGUCGCUUCCGCAAUAAUUGACUGCCCAUCAUUCUUAUCCACGAAUAACGAAUAACUCUCAUCCACUCCAAGCUGAAGCUCCUCACUACGAGAAUGAACCUCAAUUUUCAAUUUACUGAUAUCAUAAGCCGGUCUUAUAUAUCUAAACAUUUGAAAAAUAGAAAAACUCUCCCCAUGCUUGAAGAUAAUCCUCUUGUAUCUGUCAAACGCAUCUUUGAUGAUUGAGGAAUUGCCUCCGUCGCCGCUGACAACAAGCGAAAGGGCAGGGUCAACGGAUAGGGUGUGAUCGCCGGAACUGAACUCCGAUGGCAGCGGCCAGACAUAAGUGAGCGUGUCAUCCAGUUGAAAGGCGAAACUCAGCCUUAGGAUUGCCAAGAUUGCGAGAAUUAUCAGAGAUUUCAGUAAACCAGGGGACAUAGUGGAGCGAAAACAGCUAGAGAGAGAGAGAGAGAGAGGAGCUGAUGAAUUAUUAG